RNAcentral lists this non-coding RNA (29 nucleotides) under Homo sapiens (human). The record is from RNAcentral. Lineage: Eukaryota; Metazoa; Chordata; Mammalia; Primates; Hominidae.
UGGGAGGUACGCUAUGGGUACACAAAGGC